RNAcentral lists this ribosomal RNA (244 nucleotides) under uncultured bacterium. RNAcentral's name for it is "partial 16S ribosomal RNA". It matches the Rfam family "Bacterial small subunit ribosomal RNA", at positions 335 to 576 of the family's 1533-position model. The record is from RNAcentral.
GCUCCUACGGGACGCAGCAGUGAGGAAUAUUGGUCAAUGGGCGCGAGCCUGAACCAGCCAAGUAGCGUGAAGGAUGACUGCUCUACGGGUUGUAAACUUCUUUUAUAAAGGAAUAAAGUGAGGCACGUGUGCCUUUUUGUAUGUACUUUGUGAAUAAGGAUCGGCUAACUCCGUGCCAGCAGCCGCGGUAAUACGGAGGAUCUGAGCGUUAUCCGGAUUUAUUGGGUGUAAAGGGAGAGUAGAU